Hypanus sabinus (Atlantic stingray) is the source of this 1843-nucleotide long non-coding RNA. RefSeq lists it as uncharacterized. The record is from RefSeq and is a predicted model, not a curated record. Lineage: Eukaryota; Metazoa; Chordata; Chondrichthyes; Myliobatiformes; Dasyatidae. The transcript is spliced from 4 exons.
CCUUAUGCUGGCUUCCAGAGGAGAACAGGAAACAGAGUCAACAUAGCCAGUUUUAUAUUUUGGGAGGAGUCGUGCAGAUUUAACACGACAGGACAGAAAGUCAGUGUCAUGGUCUGGAUCGGUUCCCCUUUAAAUUUAGUUAGGUUGCAUUAUGAUCUGGACCAUUGACUCCUUGUUCCCUUCUAAUUCUGUUUCACGUGUCCCUUGAGCUUGGCAAUCAAGGUAAUCUACCCUCGACCCGAACCGGCAGCUUAUAAGCCCCUGGCUUUAGCCGUUCGGGGCGAGAGUGUUAGGAAGCCUUCGCUACGGCAAGCCAGAGUUAUCAAGCCCGCAUCGGAGUGCCAGCAAUUCGCCUUCCUUCGCCAGAGUGGGUCUGGGCAAGGUCAAACUGCCAGGGUUGACUGACGUGGACUUGAUCUCCUGCUGAAAGAUGCCUGACUUGGAACUAAGCACUGCUGACAGAAGAGAUUCCUCAGGCUCCAGAAAUCUUGAGCAACACGCACAAAAUACCGGAGGAACUCAGCAGGUCGGGCAGCAUCUAUGGAGGGAAAUGAUCUGUCUGCAUAUUGGAGCUCCAUGAUGGAAGUAGUUGGCACCUUGCUCUUUGCCUUGAAUCUGUUGAGGUUAAAGACCCUGUUUGACCCUGGCCUCAGCCUCAAAGGUUUCAGAGCUGCUGUUGCACACAUAAGAGCUGCAGAAUCUCGAGGUAUUUUUGCGGCACCUGAUUCUGGACAGUACCUGCCAAAGGUCAAAUGCUUUUGUAAGGUCUAUGAAGGCCAUAUGAAGUGGGAGAUUUUGUUCCUGGGCUUUCUUCUGCAAUUGGUGCACUGUAAAAAAUCAUGCCGAAUGUUCCCCUGGCUGGACAGAAGCCACACUGAAUCUCAGGAAGGCGAUCUUCUGCCAGAGCUGAAGGCUGGUCACAUAAGAUUUGAGCUGCCACAAAAGAAGAAACCCAAAAGAACCAGAUGAAAAAAAGAGACCAAUGCCCAAUGUGCAGAGAGUAAAAUCACAAAUUGUUUGUCUAUAUAAUUAUAGAUAAAGCGGAAGUGUGAAUGGCUCAAAGUACUGAAAUAUUUGGCAAGUCAUGCCCUGAUUCUUGAUACAAGAGAAGGUGGCUGGGGUGCUGUCAGAUUCCAUGAUCUACAGCUGUGCUCAAACUAUGUUCUUCACGGGCGGUGGGUUCUCACUCUUCUGAACUCAUUCGGGAUCUCCAGGAGCGGUUUGGAGGAUGCGUGCCUUCGGGGUGCAACCCUGUGGAUGACCCAGUUCCUCGCUGAUGUCGCUGGCUAAAACAUCACAGGAGAUCGAAAUAUCAAGACAGCAGGCGCAGCUGUCGGAGGCCUCUGCACUCGAGCAAUCUCUCUCUCUCUCAAUGGUGAGAGAGAUCGUCUGAUGCUUCUCCAGUUGGGAGAACUCGAAUAAGCGAUGCUGCAGAAACAGUGAGCUAUUGGCUUUCCCUAUCACUGUGGCAGGAAUGAUAUCUAUCUCUCCAUUGUAAGGGAGGGAGGGAGAGAGAGAGGGAGAGAAUGAGAAUACGCAUGGCAGUCUGAAAUGUCAACGUGUUGGGAUGGACAGUAAUUUUUGAUGGACUCUAGAUCAUGGUCCCUAGGGGUUUGAUAUUGCAUGAUGGGCACUGAUGCUUCUGCUGGAGCAAGUGGGGAGAGGGCUGAUGUGUUUGCUGCUGUUUUUGCAUGGGGAAUGAGGGCUUUAGGAUUCUAACAUUUUGUUGUUGUUCAUUCUUUGGGUUUUUUUCCUUCUGUUUUGUGGAUAUCUGUGAAGAGUAAACAUUUCAGGUUGUAUACUGUAUACAUUCUCUGAUAUUAAAUUGAACCAUUGAACCUUC